GUCCAGCUGACGAGUUCCAACCAAGACGAAAUGUUCGUCAUGGAU
RNAcentral lists this non-coding RNA (45 nucleotides) under Schistosoma mansoni. Lineage: Eukaryota; Metazoa; Platyhelminthes; Trematoda; Strigeidida; Schistosomatidae. The record is from RNAcentral.